GCUGUGGUCCACAUUUCAUGAAAAACAUCUGGUGAAGGGAGCUUGCCAGAAAACUCUUGCCGAUCUAAAACUGGAUUACCUGGAUCUCUAUCUCAUCCACUGGCCUUCAGGCUUCAAGGCUGGAGAGGAUCUGUUUCCCACAGAUGAGAACGGCAUGGUUAUACCCAGCAACACUGACCUACUACAAACAUGGGAGGCCAUGGAAGAGCUGGUGGAUGCUGGCCUGGCAAAAGCCAUUGGCAUCUCCAACUUCAACCACGAGCAGAUUGAAAGAAUCUUGAACAAGCCAGGACUGAAA
Meleagris gallopavo (turkey) is the source of this 298-nucleotide non-coding RNA. The record is from RefSeq and is a predicted model, not a curated record. Lineage: Eukaryota; Metazoa; Chordata; Aves; Galliformes; Phasianidae.